UCUGGCCAUCCUUGGGGAGAUCGUGUUUGGCAUUAAGUUGUCGGGCAUGGGAUACCCAUCGUUUACUGUGAAAAAAUUAGAGUGUUUAAAGCAGGCUUAUGCCGUUGAAUAUAUUAGCAUGGAAUAAUAAGAUAGGACUUUGGAACUAUUUUGUUGGUUUGCGUUACAAAGUAAUGAUUAAUAGGGACAGUUGGGGGUAUUCGUAUUUCGUUGUCAGAGGUGAAAUUCUUGGAUUUCCGAAAGACGAACUACUGCGAAAGCAUUUACCAAGGAUGUUUUCAUUAAUCAAGAACGAAAGUUAGGGGAUCGAAGAUGAUUAGAUACCAUCGUAGUCUUAACCAUAAACUAUGCCGACUCAGGAUUGGCGGUUG
Molecule: ribosomal RNA, 371 nt
Filed under: Thalassiosira sp. RCC4583
Lineage: Eukaryota; Bacillariophyta; Thalassiosirophyceae; Thalassiosirales; Thalassiosiraceae
Description: SSU rRNA
Rfam family: Eukaryotic small subunit ribosomal RNA
Source: RNAcentral